CGGCACCUCAAGUGGUCAGGAUGAUUAUUGGGCCUAAAGCAUCCGUAGCCGGCUCUGUAAGUUUUCGGUUAAAUCUGUACGCUCAACGUACAGGCUGCCGGGAAUACUGCAGAGCUAGGGAGUGGGAGAGGUAGACGGUACUCGGUAGGAAGGGGUAAAAUCCUUUGAUCUAUUGAUGACUACCUGUGGCGAAGGCGGUCUACCAGAACACGUCCGACGGUGAGGGAUGAAAGCUGGGGGAGCAAACCGGAUUAGAUACCCGAGUAGUCC
Molecule: ribosomal RNA, 270 nt
Filed under: uncultured archaeon
Lineage: Archaea
Description: partial 16S ribosomal RNA
Rfam family: Archaeal small subunit ribosomal RNA
Source: RNAcentral